Molecule: non-coding RNA, 171 nt
Filed under: Rhizobium sp. BK068
Lineage: Bacteria; Pseudomonadati; Pseudomonadota; Alphaproteobacteria; Hyphomicrobiales; Rhizobiaceae
Also listed under: 1 other name
Source: RNAcentral
GGAAGGGCGACCGAACGUGGGGAGGAAGCGUGGAUCGCAACUGCGGGCCGAUGAACAAGAACCGGAUAUGAGGCGAUGCCGACCAGGGCGAGCGGGCAACAUACCGCGAAGCUCUUGUGACCAAGGGUCGGUGGCGUAAAUCCGGCGGUCGUGCAGUGAAGGAGUGCGUUC